Molecule: ribosomal RNA, 495 nt
Filed under: uncultured bacterium
Lineage: Bacteria
Description: bacterial SSU rRNA
Rfam family: Bacterial small subunit ribosomal RNA
Source: RNAcentral
AAAGGAAUUGACGGGGGCCCGCACAAGCGGUGGAGCAUGUGGUUUAAUUCGAUGCAACGCGAAGAACCUUACCAGGUCUUGACAUCCAGCGAAUCUUUAGGAAACUAGAGAGUGCCUUCGGGAGCGUUGAGACAGGUGGUGCAUGGUUGUCGUCAGCUCGUGUCGUGAGAUGUUGGGUUAAGUCCCGCAACGAGCGCAACCCUUGCUAUUAGUUGCUAACAGAUCAAGCUGAGCACUCUAAUGGGACUGCCGGUGACAAGCCGGAGGAAGGUGGGGAUGACGUCAAAUCAUCAUGCCCUUUAUGACCUGGGCUACACACGUGCUACAAUGGAUGGUACAGAGAGCAGCGAAGCAGCGAUGUGAAGCGAAUCUCAAAAAGCCAUUCUCAGUUCGGAUUGGAGUCUGCAACUCGACUCCAUGAAGUCGGAAUCGCUAGUAAUCGCGAAUCAGCAUGUCGCGGUGAAUGCGUUCCCGGGCCUUGUACACACCGCCCGU